AUUGAACGCUGGCGGCAGGCUUAACACAUGCAAGUCGAGCGAGCGGCGGACGGGUGAGUAAUGUCUGGGAAACUGCCUGAUGGUGGGGGGUAACUACUGGAAACGGUAGCUAAUACCGCAUACCCUCAGAUGUGCCCAGAUGUGAUUAGCUAGUAGGUGGGGUAAUGGCUCACCUAGGCGAAGAUCCCUAGCUGGUCUGAGAGGAUGACCAGCGAAACUGGAACUGAGAAACGGAGAAGAAGCGUAUGAGCGGCAGCAGGGGGGAAGAUUGCAGAACGGGCGAAAGCCUGCUGAAGCCAUGCCGCGUGUGUGAAGAAGGCCUUCGGGUUGCAAAGCACUUUCAGCGAGGAGGCGUUACUCGUAGAAGAAGCACCGGCUAACUCCGUUCUAGCAGCCGCGGUAAUAC
Molecule: ribosomal RNA, 406 nt
Filed under: uncultured bacterium
Lineage: Bacteria
Description: partial 16S ribosomal RNA
Rfam family: Bacterial small subunit ribosomal RNA
Source: RNAcentral